UGCGGAGGGAUCAUUACUGAGUGAGGGCCUUCGGGCUCGACCUCCAACCCUUUGUGAACACAACUUGUUGCUUCGGGGGCGACCCUGCCGUUUCGACGGCGAGCGCCCCCGGAGGCCUUCAAACACUGCAUCUUUGCGUCGGAGUUUAAGUAAAUUAAACAAAACUUUCAACAACGGAUCUCUUGGUUCUGGCAUCGAUGAAGAACGCAGCGAAAUGCGAUAAGUAAUGUGAAUUGCAGAAUUCAGUGAAUCAUCGAAUCUUUGAACGCACAUUGCGCCCCUUGGUAUUCCGAGGGGCAUGCCUGUUCGAGCGUCAUUUCACCACUCAAGCCUCGCUUGGUAUUGGGCGCCGCGGUGUUCCGCGCGCCUCAAAGUCUCCGGCUGAGCUGUCCGUCUCUAAGCGUUGUGAUUUCAUUAAUCGCUUCGGAGCGCGGGCGGUCGCGGCCGUUAAAUCUUUCACAAGGUUGACCUCGGAUCAGGUAGGGA
This 486-nucleotide ribosomal RNA is filed under the name Cercospora kikuchii. Its description in RNAcentral is "eukaryotic LSU rRNA". The stretch from base 163 to 316 matches the Rfam family "5.8S ribosomal RNA". The record is from RNAcentral. Lineage: Eukaryota; Fungi; Ascomycota; Dothideomycetes; Mycosphaerellales; Mycosphaerellaceae.